GGAGAGGUACUCGAAGUGGUCAUAACGGCACCGACUCGAAAUCGGUUGGGCGGUUAAUCCCGCCACGUGGGUUCGAAUCCCACCCUCUCCGCCA
Molecule: transfer RNA, 94 nt
Filed under: Gammaproteobacteria bacterium
Lineage: Bacteria; Pseudomonadati; Pseudomonadota; Gammaproteobacteria
Also listed under: 1 other name
Description: tRNA-Ser
Rfam family: tRNA
About the family: Transfer RNA (tRNA) molecules are approximately 80 nucleotides in length. Their secondary structure includes four short double-helical elements and three loops (D, anti-codon, and T loops).
Source: RNAcentral